Non-coding RNA from Schistosoma curassoni, 45 nucleotides. The record is from Rfam. NCBI's taxonomy places the organism in Eukaryota, Metazoa, Platyhelminthes, Trematoda, Strigeidida, Schistosomatidae.
AUCCAGAUGACGAGUCCCUUCUGGGACGAAACGCACAUCCUGGAU